This 228-nucleotide ribosomal RNA is filed under the name uncultured bacterium. Its description in RNAcentral is "partial 16S ribosomal RNA". It matches the Rfam family "Bacterial small subunit ribosomal RNA", at positions 568 to 795 of the family's 1533-position model. The record is from RNAcentral.
UGCCCAGGCGGGGCAAUAAGUCAGUGGUGAAAUCCUGCGGCUUAACCGUAGAACUGCCAUUGAUACUGUUGCCCUUGAGUAUAGUUGAGGUGGGCGGAAUAUGUAAUGUAGCGGUGAAAUGCAUAGAUAUUACAUAGAACACCAAUUGCGAAGGCAGCUCACUAAGCUAUCACUGACGCUGAGGCACGAAAGCGUGGGGAGCGAACAGGAUUAGAUACCCUGGUAGUC